GCCGUGGUAGUCUAGUGGCCUAGGAUGGGGGCCUGUCGAGCCCCUGACCCGGGUUCAAAUCCCGGCCGCGGCG
Molecule: transfer RNA, 73 nt
Filed under: Sulfuracidifex metallicus
Lineage: Archaea; Thermoproteati; Thermoproteota; Thermoprotei; Sulfolobales; Sulfolobaceae
Also listed under: 2 other names
Description: tRNA-Asp
Rfam family: tRNA
About the family: Transfer RNA (tRNA) molecules are approximately 80 nucleotides in length. Their secondary structure includes four short double-helical elements and three loops (D, anti-codon, and T loops).
Source: RNAcentral